AUUGAACGCUGGCGGCAUGCCUUACACAUGCAAGUCGAACGGCAGCGGGGGAGAAGCUUGCUUUUCCUGCCGGCGAGUGGCGAACGGGUGAGUAAUACAUCGGAACGUGCCCUGUAGUGGGGGAUAACUAGUCGAAAGAUUAGCUAAUACCGCAUACGACCUGAGGGUGAAAGUGGGGGACCGCAAGGCCUCAUGCUAUAGGAGCGGCCGAUGUCUGAUUAGCUAGUUGGUGGGGUAAAGGCCUACCAAGGCGACGAUCAGUAGCUGGUCUGAGAGGACGAUCAGCCACACUGGGACUGAGACACGGCCCAGACUCCUAAGGGAGGCAGCAGUGGGGAAUUUUGGACAAUGGGUGAAAGCCUGAUCCAGCAAUGCCGCGUGUGUGAAGAAGGCCUUCGGGUUGUAAAGCACUUUUGUCCGGAAAGAAAUGGCUCUGGUUAAUACCUGGGGUCGAUGACGGUACCGGAAGAAUAAGGACCGGCUAACUACGUGUCAGCAGCCGCCGCGG
Molecule: ribosomal RNA, 508 nt
Filed under: uncultured bacterium
Lineage: Bacteria
Description: partial 16S ribosomal RNA
Rfam family: Bacterial small subunit ribosomal RNA
Source: RNAcentral